This 460-nucleotide ribosomal RNA is filed under the name uncultured bacterium. RNAcentral's name for it is "partial 16S ribosomal RNA". It matches the Rfam family "Bacterial small subunit ribosomal RNA", at positions 338 to 795 of the family's 1533-position model. The record is from RNAcentral.
CCUACGGGAGGCAGCAGUGAGGAAUAUUGGUCAAUGGACGAGAGUCUGAACCAGCCAAGUCGCGUGACGGAUGACUGCCCUACGGGUUGUAAACCUCUUUUAUCUGGGAGUAAAUUGUUAGUCGUGUGCGACUUUGUAUGUACCAUAUGAAUAAGGAUCGACUAACUCCGUGCCAGCAGCCGCGUUAAUCCGGAGGAUUCGAGCGUUCUCAGGUUUUAUUCGGGUUAAGGGGGGCGGAGGGGGGUUUUUAAGUCAGGGGGGAAAGUCGGGGGCUCAACCGUAGAAGUGCAGUUGAAACUGUGAGUCUUGAGGACAGGAGGGGUGGGCGGAAUGCGUGGUGUAGCGGUGAAAUGCGUAGAUAUCACGAAGAACUCCGAUGGCGAAGGCAGCUUACUGGACAGCAACUGACACUGAGGCACGAAAGCGUGGGUAUCGAACAGGAUUAGAUACCCCUGUAGUC